This 667-nucleotide ribosomal RNA is filed under the name uncultured bacterium. RNAcentral's name for it is "bacterial SSU rRNA". It matches the Rfam family "Bacterial small subunit ribosomal RNA", at positions 61 to 719 of the family's 1533-position model. The record is from RNAcentral.
GUCGAGCGAGGUUACUGUUUCGGAUCCCUUCGGGGUGAAGAAGCUUUAACCUAGCGGCGGACGGGUGAGUAACGCGUGGGUAACCUACCCCAAAGUCCGGGAUAACAGCGGGAAACCGCUGCUAAUACCGGAUGCCUUUACCUUGGGGCAUCUUGAGGUAAAGAAAGGCAACGCUUUGGGAUGGGCCCGCGUCCCAUUAGCUAGUUGGUGAGGUAACGGCUCACCAAGGCGACGAUGGGUAGCCGGCCUGAGAGGGUGGACGGCCACACUGGGACUGAGACACGGCCCAGACUCCUACGGGAGGCAGCAGUAGGGAAUAUUGCGCAAUGGACGGAAGUCUGACGCAGCGACGCCGCGUGAGCGAUGAAGGUCUUCGGAUCGUAAAGCUCUGUCCUUGGGGAAGAAGGUCUUCGGACUUGACGGUACCCAAGAAGAAAGCCCCGGCUAACUACGUGCCAGCAGCCGCGGUAAUACGUAGGGGGCGAGCGUUGUCCGGAAUUACUGGGCGUAAAGGGUGCGUAGGCGGCCCUUUAAGUCGGAUGUGAAAGCCCGCGGCUUAACCGCGGAAUGGCAUUCGAAACUGGAGGGCUUGAGUGUCGGAGAGGGUAGUGGAAUUCCCAGUGUAGCGGUGAAAUGCGUAGAUAUUGGGAGGAACACCAGUGGCGAA